GACGAACGCUGGCGGCGUGCUUAACACAUGCAAGUCGAACGAUGAAGCCUUCGGGUGGAUUAGUGGCGAACGGGUGAGUAACACGUGGGUGAUCUGCCCUGCACUUUGGGAUAAGCCUGGGAAACUGGGUCUAAUACCGAAUAGGACUCCGCGCUUCAUGGCGUGGGGUGGAAAGCUUUUGCGGUGUGGGAUGGGCCCGCGGCCUAUCAGCUUGUUGGUGGGGUAAUGGCCUACCAAGGCGACGACGGGUAGCCGGCCUGAGAGGGUGACCGGCCACACUGGGACUGAGAUACGGCCCAGACUCCUACGGGAGGCAGCAGUGGGGAAUAUUGCACAAUGGGCGCAAGCCUGAUGCAGCGACGCCGCGUGAGGGAUGACGGCCUCGGUUGU
Molecule: ribosomal RNA, 390 nt
Filed under: uncultured bacterium
Lineage: Bacteria
Description: bacterial SSU rRNA
Rfam family: Bacterial small subunit ribosomal RNA
Source: RNAcentral